Molecule: long non-coding RNA, 2575 nt
Filed under: Pelobates cultripes (western spadefoot toad)
Lineage: Eukaryota; Metazoa; Chordata; Amphibia; Anura; Pelobatidae
Source: RNAcentral
GGAGGCCCAAGGGACAGUACCCGACAGCAGUGGAUGGCAGUACAGCUACCGUGGUCCAAGAACACAUGAGCGCCCGGGACCGGAGCGUCCCUCACCACGGAGCAGCGGACCCUUGAUCUCAGGAGGUGACAGCCAGCCAACUGUAGGCAUUGGUUAAACUAUCCCUCCUAAGUAUGCUCCCUGACAGAAAUGUCACCCCAGGGAAAUGUUGCUGGACUUGUUGGUCUCUACCUUUAACCCUCAGCCCUUAGCAGCCACACAAAUGAUACAACCAGCCCGGGACUGCAUCAAAUCUCAAUGGACAUUGUGCUUCCAUUUUUCAUUUUGACUGCACUCUCAUACUCACUACAAGAGAUGAAUAAACCAGUCACACUAAUUUAGCACGAUACCCACUGCACAUAACUGACUAAAACCAUGCCUAGCAAUUAUUCCUGUAUGAAAACAAACUAUAUACACAUAAUCUGAAAAUGAGUACCCAGUGGUUCCCACACUUAAGAGUUAAUCGUUUUACAAACACACACUAAUCCUCUGCUAACACACAUAUAUCUUAUAAGCUAACUAAAAGUUGAAGCAAGGUGUUACUACUAGUGUUUGACUACCAUAAAUUAGCAUGACCUUUAUUACUGAACACACUUGCUUAUCACCUGGCAUUAAUAGCACCAGCUGGUUAACAUAUAGAACAGAGCAGCUCAUGUCACAGUUUACGCAAAGCUUUAUCUUGUAUCUUGCAUACUCCUGCUAAAAAGUUGCUAUAAUGCCUAUAAGCACACUAAAUAUACAAACAAGUCUUUAAGCAUGUUGUUACACCUACUUAAAAAUUGUGCAUGUCUUUCUCACUGCCCUACUACAUGUUAACUAUGUAUUGCGAAUCUACUGUCAUUGGCCGUUGGGGCAUGACAAAAAUGUGUAUAUUUCUCUGCACUACAAAAUAAAGAAUUAAAAAAAAAAAAAAAAUAGUUGGUCUUCCACCCAUAGGGUCGGGAGAUCAGGUUGACCAGAUCCACCAUGUUUUCUGGGACACAUUUCAUAUAUACAUAUUAAUGGGCAGCACAUGAAAAGAUGUAGCCCUGUAAUUAGAGAUGUCGCGAACUGUUUGCGAAAUUUGCGCGAAUGGUUUCGUGGCGAACUCCGGUCAGCUGACACAGCCCGGCCAAUCUCCAGCAGACCCUCCCUCCCAGACCCUCCCACCUCCUGGACAGCAUCCAUGUUGAAGCCCAACAUGGAUGCUGUCCAGGAGGUGGGAGGGUCUGGGAGGGAGAAUCUGCUGGAGAUUGGCCGGGCUGUGUCAGCUGACCGGAGUUCGCCGCGAACGGUUCGUGGCGAAGCGCGGCGAACCGUUCGCGCAAAGUUCGUGAACGGUUCGCGACAUCUCUACCUGUAAUAUGUAGAAUUCAGAAGAAGGUGUAUAAAAUUAAGAAAUUAGACAAUGAAUAACCCUGUUAUUAAACAAUUCAGCAAUGAAGAAUCGUGCAGAAUAUGCAUUAUACAUGCUGCAGGCAACCGAUUUUAUGCCUUUUCACAAAUAUUACAAAUUUAAAUGUGUCCCUGUAAACAUAGUGGAUCUGGUCACCCUGGGGGAGAUCCCCACAAAAAUCUCCAAAAGACAAGGCGUAAAAUAAUAGUCUUUAUUGGAACAUUAUAUGCAGAAGAAUUAGCUCAAGCAAAGGGGCAGAAGUGAUAGGGUGAGUGUGCCGACUGACGCUCUCAGCCAAUCAACGUGGCAUUUCUAGCUAACAAAAAAUCCAGGCAGAGACCUAUUUCACUAUAAUUAUUACAUUCUCCUUAUCACUAGGAUUUACACCUCAUUCCUGCCCUUCUCUUUUUCGUUAUAUGUCCCCGCUCAUACAGGCACCUCCUUUACUUCCCGUCAUGACUGCCCCUCCCUAGAUCCCCAUCUCUUCAUCACAGCACCCUUCCACAGCUUCCCGGUACAAACUAACAGAAUGUUGACAGAAUGUGCUCUCUCCCAGAAUUCAUACUCCCACGUUGCUCAGCUGUCCUACAUUAAAGGACCACUCUAGGCACCCAGACCACUUCAGCUUAAUGAAGUGGUCUGGGUGCCAGGUCCAGCUAGGGUUAACCCAUUGUUUUAUAAACAUAGCAGUUUCAGAGAAACCCCCCAGGUGCUGUCUGGGUUCAAGGGAUAUACUGGGACCCGUGAUUGUCCAGCUGUGCUCUCAAUAAAGAAAAAUAGAGCGUAGAGAGAAGAAAAUAAACACUUUGAAAAACGGAGACUAUAAGAGAGACAAAAGGUGCGAAAGGAAAGGGGAUUACUAAGUUUACUUUUAGGUUCAUAUAAAAUUUAUAUUGAUUGUAAAGACUUUCAUAUUAAUGAAGAUAAUCUUUACUCCAGGAUCCUUCUCAGUGAAAUUAUAAUUGGUGAUGUCAUGCUGUGAUGUCAUAAACAUAACUGCUGAUGUAACUGCUUGAACAUUCUAUUUCUUCCCAGUUAUAACGGAGGCCCUGACAGAGUAUCACCUAGAUUCAUGGUUCUCCUACCUUCUCAAUGGCAUAGAGAUCUCUGCCUCACUUGGAUGUGUCUGAAGACUUGGAGCUUCACUACCCUCAAUCUGAU